Molecule: ribosomal RNA, 819 nt
Filed under: uncultured Bacteroides sp.
Lineage: Bacteria; Pseudomonadati; Bacteroidota; Bacteroidia; Bacteroidales; Bacteroidaceae
Description: bacterial SSU rRNA
Rfam family: Bacterial small subunit ribosomal RNA
Source: RNAcentral
AGAGUUUGAUCCUGGCUCAGGAUGAACGCUAGCUACAGGCUUAACACAUGCAAGUCGAGGGGCAGCAUGGUCUUAGCUUGCUAAGGCCGAUGGCGACCGGCGCACGGGUGAGUAACACGUAUCCAACCUGCCGUCUACUCUUGGACAGCCUUCUGAAAGGAAGAUUAAUACAAGAUGGCAUCAUGAGUCCGCAUGUUCACAUGAUUAAAGGUAUUCCGGUAGACGAUGGGGAUGCGUUCCAUUAGAUAGUAGGCGGGGUAACGGCCCACCUAGUCUUCGAUGGAUAGGGGUUCUGAGAGGAAGGUCCCCCACAUUGGAACUGAGACACGGUCCAAACUCCUACGGGAGGCAGCAGUGAGGAAUAUUGGUCAAUGGGCGAGAGCCUGAACCAGCCAAGUAGCGUGAAGGAUGACUGCCCUAUGGGUUGUAAACUUCUUUUAUAAAGGAAUAAAGUCGGGUAUGUAUACCCGUUUGCAUGUACUUUAUGAAUAAGGAUCGGCUAACUCCGUGCCAGCAGCCGCGGUAAUACGGAGGAUCCGAGCGUUAUCCGGAUUUAUUGGGUUUAAAGGGAGCGUAGAUGGAUGUUUAAGUCAGUUGUGAAAGUUUGCGGCUCAACCGUAAAAUUGCAGUUGAUACUGGAUAUCUUGAGUGCAGUUGAGGCAGGCGGAAUUCGUGGUGUAGCGGUGAAAUGCUUAGAUAUCACGAAGAACUCCGAUUGCGAAGGCAGCCUGCUAGCUGCACUGACAUUGAGGCUCGAAAUGUGGGUUUCAACAGGAUAGAUACCUGGUAGUCCAACGGUAACAUGAUACUCCUGUUGCA